RNAcentral lists this ribosomal RNA (338 nucleotides) under Pseudopaludicola falcipes (Hensel's swamp frog). RNAcentral describes it as "partial 16S ribosomal RNA". Lineage: Eukaryota; Metazoa; Chordata; Amphibia; Anura; Leptodactylidae. The record is from RNAcentral.
AUGUUUUUAAUGAGACGAUGAAGGCAUCCGAGGGUUAUACUGUCUCCUUUUUCUAAUCAUGAAACUAAUCUUCCCGUGAAGAAGCGGGAAUAAUUUUAUAAGACGAGAAGACCCUAUGGAGCUUUAAAUAAACAACAAAUAUCUACUUAUCUAAAUUAAGAAAACCAAAAUUAUCAGAUAUAUGAUUGCUAGUUUUAGGUUGGGGUGACCAUGGAGAACAAUACAACCCCCAUGUCGAAAUGAUUUUAAAAUUAGCUGCGAGUAACAACUCCGGCAUCAACACCUUGACGUCAAUUGACCCAAUUUUUAUCAAGAACCAAGUUCCCUGAUACAGCGCA